GGCUGGGGUUGUUCUGUCCUGGUUCUGUCUGGCCGUGAAGCCGCAGGCCUCCGAGAGCGGGACGAGGAGGUGGGGCCCAGGGGGCUCCGGGGCGGACAGACUGACCGCCGGACAGCCCAGGUGUCGGCACAGCGUGGGCGGUGCCCAGAGCCGCGCCCCGCCCCGUGAUUCCUUCCCGUGCCUUCCCCCGUCUCCUGUCAC
RNAcentral lists this long non-coding RNA (201 nucleotides) under Pan troglodytes (chimpanzee). Its description in RNAcentral is "long non-coding RNA NONPTRT010616". Lineage: Eukaryota; Metazoa; Chordata; Mammalia; Primates; Hominidae. The record is from RNAcentral.